CCUGGCUGGCACUCCUUCAAAGUGUCAAAUCUCAAGGACAGUUGGUGGAAUCUGGAGGGGGUGUGAGAAGACCUGGAGGGUCCCUCCGUCUCUCCUGCCAAGGCUCUGGAUUCACCUUCAGCAGCUAUUGGAUGCACUGGAUAAAGUCAAGGGACGCUUCACCAACUCCAGGGACGAUGCCAAAAGCCAGCUGUAUCUGCAGAUGAACAAUCUGGAACUGGAGGAUACUUCAGUUUAU
Long non-coding RNA from Crotalus tigris (Tiger rattlesnake), 238 nucleotides. RefSeq lists it as uncharacterized. The transcript is spliced from 3 exons. Lineage: Eukaryota; Metazoa; Chordata; Lepidosauria; Squamata; Viperidae. The record is from RefSeq and is a predicted model, not a curated record.